CCUACGGGCGGCAGCAGUGAGGAAUAUUGGUCAAUGGUCGGGAGACUGAACCAGCCAAGCCGCGUGAGGGAGGAAGGUACAGAGUAUCGUAAACCUCUUUUGUCAGGGAACAAAGGCGGGGACGUGUCCCCGGAUGAGUGUACCUGAAGAAAAAGCAUCGGCUAACUCCGUGCCAGCAGCCGCGGUAAUACGGAGGAUGCGAGCGUUAUCCGGAUUUAUGGGGUUUAAAGGGUGCGCAGGCGGUCUGUUAAGUCAGCGGUCAAAGCCCGGGGCUCAACCCCGGCCCGCCGUUGAAACUGGCAGUCUCGAGUUGGAGAGAAGUAUGCGGAAUGCGCGGUGUAGCGGUGAAAUGCAUAGAUAUCGCGCAGAACUCCGAUUGCGAAGGCAGCAUGCCGGCUCCACACUGACGCUGAGGCACGAAAGCGUGGGUAUCGAACAGGAUCAGAUACCCUUGUAGUC
RNAcentral lists this ribosomal RNA (459 nucleotides) under uncultured bacterium. RNAcentral's name for it is "partial 16S ribosomal RNA". It matches the Rfam family "Bacterial small subunit ribosomal RNA", at positions 338 to 795 of the family's 1533-position model. The record is from RNAcentral.